UACGAAGGGUGCAAACGUUGCUCGGAAUUAUUGGGCGUAAAGGGCGCGUAGGCGGCUUGGCAAGUGGAUGGUGAAAUCCCUCGGCUUAACCGAGGAACUGCCAUCCAGACUGCUUCGCUUGAGACCGGGAGAGGUGAGUGGAAUUCCCAGUGUAGCGGUGAAAUGCGUAGAUAUUGGGAGGAACACCAGUGGCGAAGGCGGCUCACUGGACCGGUACUGACGCUGAGGCGCGAAAGCGUGGGGAGCAAACGGG
RNAcentral lists this ribosomal RNA (253 nucleotides) under uncultured bacterium. RNAcentral describes it as "partial 16S ribosomal RNA". It matches the Rfam family "Bacterial small subunit ribosomal RNA", at positions 524 to 776 of the family's 1533-position model. The record is from RNAcentral.